Molecule: RNase P RNA, 423 nt
Filed under: Geomonas terrae
Lineage: Bacteria; Pseudomonadati; Thermodesulfobacteriota; Desulfuromonadia; Geobacterales; Geobacteraceae
Description: Geobacter sp. Red111 RNase P RNA component class A
Rfam family: Bacterial RNase P class A
About the family: Ribonuclease P (RNase P) is a ubiquitous endoribonuclease, found in archaea, bacteria and eukarya as well as chloroplasts and mitochondria.
Source: RNAcentral
GGAGCAGACCAGAUGGCCGCUGUCCACCGUAGCCUCGGCGAAGGUGGAGGGAGGAAAGUCCGGGCUCCACAGGGCAUGGUGCUGGAUAACGUCCAGCGGGGGCAACCCCAGGGAUAGUGCCACAGAGAGAAGUCCGCCCACCACAACCUUGGCGACAAGGUCCGCCGUAGCCUCGGCGAAGGCGGAAGGUGGGUAAGGGUGAAAGGGUGAGGUAAGAGCUCACCGGGUUCGGCGGCGACGUCGGAUGCCAGGUAAACCCCACCAGGAGCAAGACCAAAUAGGGAAGCGUUAAGGGCGGCCCGUCCGUGCUUCCGGGUUGGUUGCUUGAGGGCACCGGCAACGGUGCUCCUAGAUGAAUGACCAUCGCCCGCCGCCGGGUAACCGGUUGCGGGAACAGAACCCGGCUUACGGGCUGCUCCGGCC